Molecule: RNA transcript, 3927 nt
Organism: Megalobrama amblycephala (Wuchang bream)
Lineage: Eukaryota; Metazoa; Chordata; Actinopteri; Cypriniformes; Xenocyprididae
Gene: ildr2a
Gene name: immunoglobulin-like domain-containing receptor 2
Exons: 10
Source: RefSeq, a predicted model, not a curated record
GCUGUUCAUGUAACGGGAACAUUGAAAUACUGAAUACAACAUUUCUUACAGAUAUUUAUUGGUUAUGUCAUUUAGAUUUGUAUAGUUUAUGUAAUUGUAUAUAAUAAUGAAUAGUGGCUGUAUAUGUAAUAAUGAAAGUGUGUAAUUUUGUUGAAAAUAGAACCCCUCCUCGAAAGUUCUCGGUAACGCGCGCGUGAGGGUGGCGCGCGCCUCCUUUAGCUCAGACCCGUUACUCACGAGACGCAGAUCAGACGGACGGGAGAUGAAGCGAAAAACACGAGAAAAACACGGCCCAGAUUCUGCGACGGGUCACGAAACCGAACAAUUUAUACGGAUUUCAGUCGUCAGAUGCUGGAUUUCACUCAUGGCGUUCACAGCGGUGUCGCGGUCCGAGGCCGUGCAGGUCUCAGUUCGUGACGAGCGGCGCUUCGCGAUGCUCUUCCAGUCGGUGGUUCUGCCGUGUCAGUACAGCAGCGUCUCCUCGCAGACUCCGGUCAUCCAGUGGUGGUACAAGUCCUACUGCCGCGAUCGCACGCGCGACGCCUUCCGCUUCCCCGACGCGCUGGCCGUCCACGGCUCUGAGCUCGGCUCCUCCGUUCACCUGGACUGCGGGGACAGCGGCCGGACGGUGCGCAUCGUGGCGUCUGGACAGGGAUCGUCCAUCACCCUCGCCGAGCACUACAAGGGCCGAGACAUCUCCAUCAUCAACAAGGCUGACCUGCGCAUCGGUGAGCUGCAGUGGGGCGACAGCGGCGUUUACUACUGUAAAGUGGUGAUCUCUGAUGAUCUGGAGGGUCAGAAUGAAGCACACGUGGAGCUGCUGGUGUUGGGUCAGACAGGUUUGACCGAUGAUCUUCUGCCUGGCUUAAAUGUGGAGAUUGUUCCAGAGUGGGUGUUUGUGGCCGCUGUGGUCGUGGGCAGUGCUCUGGUCAUCCUGCUGGUGGGUGUUUGCUGGUGUCAGUGUUGCCCUCAUUCAUGCUGCUGUUACGUGAGAUGCUGCUGCUGCCCAGAGACCUGCUGCUGCCCUCGACACCUGUAUGAAGCAGGAAAGGGGAUCAAGACAGCAGUUCCCACACCAGUGCCCAUGUUCCCUCCAUACUACAUACCUGGGAUGCCCACCAUGAUGCCCAUCGCCCCGCCGUCCCUCAUUGACCCAAACCUGUCCACUGCACCAUCACUGGAGCACAACGGCUCGGCGGUGCGGAGUGGUUUCCAUCUGCAGUCGGUGUCAGAUCAGAGCUCUCUGAAGGUGCUGCAGUACGUGGAGAAGCAGCUCGCUCAGUUCAACCCGUCUCAGACGCUUAGCAGCAGCCGAGACACCUGCAGUAUGUCCGAGCUGAGUUCAUUACAUGAUGCAGAAACGGACUUCCGUCAGACCUAUCGACAAGUACAAAAAAAGGCUCUACCAGCCAUCCCUGACCUCGAUGACCCCGCUGACCUCCGGACCACCGAUUUAUCUCCCGUUCACGAGGGCAGAUACACACGACAGCCACAGCACAGAAAUCAUGUGGCGGAUGACAACCCCAGGUGGAACCCUCGCUCAGAGCACCUGCAGAGGAAGGCUUUCCUGGAACGCGGACGGACUGGAUCUUUGGAUGAGCUGGAGGAGUUUGCGAUGACAUGUAUGCAGCGAGGACGUCACGGCGACCCGGGAAACAGGGAGGACGACUACAGAGCUCACGAACGGGAGCGCGAGAGGGAAAGAGAGCGAGAACGGGAGCUAGAACGGGAUCGCUAUCCAUUUUAUUGUUCCAAACGUUACUCUCCAAAGGCCAGUCCGGUGAGACGCCCGCCCAGCCCUCCGCCCCUACCUGGAAAAAGGCGGGACACGUGGGACAAUGAUCAACCCCAGCGGGAUCCACGAGAGCGGGAUCAGAGAGCUUCCAGUGGUACGGGGAGCAGAAGAGACUACGAUGAUGCCCUUCUCAACAGUUUAUUGGAGCGUAAAGCUAAAGCUGGGAAGAGCGGUUCUUCAAAAUUGGGCCGGACCGAAGAGGACUCGGACACGCCUUCCAGAAACAGCUCCAAAAAGACGAGUGAGCGUUUCCACAGCAGGUCUCCAAGCAACCAGUCGCCUCGCCAGCGGACGGCAGAGGAUAAUGAAUCCUUGCCACCCUACACAGAGAAGGAACUGGAGCGUUCCCGAGGAGCAGAGUCCGGACAACAGCCUUUCUGCUACACGCGCUCCGGUCACGGCUCUACGCCGAGUGGGCAGGAGGAGCAGAACCGCCCUCGUAAAGUGGUGAGUUAUCUGUAGGACUCUGUGUGAGUUUGUUGUUCCCCCUCACAGCACUGCGGGUCUGCGUUUGUCUCGCAUCUAAAUGGAUGCGCUGGUGCAGUGAAAGAAAAGCAGCGAGGUUGAAGCCGCUUCAGUCGAAGCCUUAGAAAGGCUUUUGAAAAGGUCUUCAGCCAUUUGAAGUAUGUAGUCCUGAAACCCUCCAACACAAUUUGUAGCAUGAUUGGAAAAAUUCCUAUUUCAAAAAGAGACCUCAAGAAUUAAAGAUCCUUAAUUAAAAGAGAGAAAUCAGAACAUUAUGAAUCCAGUUUCACCAGAGAAGCACUCUAUAAGAUUUCCUCUUGCAGUCAUCAUCCUUACCAUUUAUUUCAUUCAUAUCUCUUGUAGACAUUUUUUGAUGAACAAAGUGCGCAGUUUGAUUCCGACCUAGGUCUUUCGAUCACGGUUCGAUUUGCACCGCGAUUUGACCACAGAAAAUAACCUGUACACAGAGCACUCUUCUGAGCAGAGACUCGCUCAUAGUGUGAUGUCCUCACACACACACACACACACACACACACACGAGGACGUCGCCACGCUUGCAGACACACUCCAGCUUCACCGAUCCUGCGGAGCUCCAGCGCUGCGGAACGAAGGUUUGUGGGUCUGAAAUAUGUUUUACAGUAACUUCCCCUAAAAUGGGUCAGCGUUGACUCAAAAUAUCAGUAUUCAUUCAUGAGGUACGCAGAGACUCUGUUCGAUGAAAACAUUUCCUAAACAGUGGAAUGACGACGUUUACAUGUUGCUGGACUUUAUAUAUGAGGUUUAUUUCACACGUAUAUAAUCUCAAGCUGCUCCGUUUGAAUGGAGAUGAUACUUUGCUAAAUUGUUACAUUCUGAUGAAAUGUAUCGAUAAACACAUUCAUAACUGCUGUGCCGGAUAACUAAUGAUGUGCUGCUUUUGCACAAGAUAUUAAUAUCAUUGCAGAUCUUGUUAUUCUCAAGGUUUUAUCAGUAUUAUACGAUUUUCAAAUUAACGAAUGAUAAUAUUGUGUAUUUUUGGGAAGGACACUGGAAAGCUGAGCAAAACUGUUUAAAGAUUACAGGAAGUCAUUUGGUUUCAGCAGUUCCACAGAAUUAUCAUGUUAGAUAAACAAGACAGUAUUUUCAUUUACUGACUGCUAGAUUUCACUGACGCACGUCUGGAUGAUAUGUGCUGAUUUCUGAACCGUACUCUAGUACAUCGUUCUGCCGCAGAUACAGUCAGAGAAGUGCGGUUAGUUCAGGAUCCCCUCAGACGUCACAGUAUAAUGUGAAACACUUCAGUGUCUGACGGCGUGAGUGUGUGUGUGUGUGUGUCGACGCGUGACGUCACCGGACGAUGAUCUCAUCUGAACGACGCGUGUGUGUCUCUCUCAGACUGACGUCACUGUGUUUACUCUGGUGUUCUGUUGCCUUCAAAUAGUUGUUUGUUACUCAAGUUAGUCUUAUCAAACAAAACACUCUUUUAUCCCAAUACUUGAGAAAAUGGUUAAUAUAAUUACAAUUGUGCCUUUGAGGACUGAAAAUCAUUUGUAUGCAACUUUGUUUACAUUUUGUAUGUUUUCACAUUUAUUGCCUUAUGAAAUUUGUAUAUUAGCUGUAUGCAGACUCAAAUUAUGUUAAUAACUACAUCAUCAAAUGAAUUUCAGUAAAAACUUGACAAACGCUUC